Molecule: ribosomal RNA, 234 nt
Filed under: uncultured bacterium
Lineage: Bacteria
Description: partial 16S ribosomal RNA
Rfam family: Bacterial small subunit ribosomal RNA
Source: RNAcentral
GAUCCUGGCUCAGGAUGAACGCUAGCUACAGGCUUAACACAUGCAAGUCGAGGGGAAACGACAUCGAAAGCUUGCUUUUGAUGGGCGUCGACCGGCGCACGGGUGAGUAACGCGUAUCCAACCUGCCCACCACUUGGGGGAUAACCCUUGCGAAAGUAAGACUAAUACCCAAUGAUAUCUCUAGAAGACAUCUGAAAGAGAUUAAAGAUUUAUCGGUGAUGGAUGGGGAUGCGU